GACGAACGCUGGCGGCGUGCUUAACACAUGCAAGUCGAACGGAAAGGCCCUGCUUUUGUGGGGUGCUCGAGUGGCGAACGGGUGAGUAACACGUGAGUAACCUGCCCUUGACUUUGGGAUAACUUCAGGAAACUGGGGCUAAUACCGGAUAGGAGCUCCUGCUGCAUGGUGGGGGUUGGAAAGUUUCGGCGGUUGGGGAUGGACGCGCGGCUUAUCAGCUUGUUGGUGGGGUAGUGGCUUACCAAGGCUUUGACGGGUAGCCGGCCUGAGGGGGUGACCGGCCACAUUGGGACUGAGACACGGCCCAGACUCCUACGGGACGCCGCAGUGGGGAAUAUUGCACAAGGGGCGGGCGCCUGAUGCAGCAGCGCCGCGUGCGGGAUGACGGCCUUCGGGGUGUAAACCGCUUUCGCCUGUGACGACGCGUGUGUGACGGUACUGGGUAAAGAAGCACCGGCUAACUACGUG
Molecule: ribosomal RNA, 468 nt
Filed under: uncultured bacterium
Lineage: Bacteria
Description: partial 16S ribosomal RNA
Rfam family: Bacterial small subunit ribosomal RNA
Source: RNAcentral